CAUUGGCCAACACAUUUAUUGGUUGUACACUGUGUGGCACACAAUGUUCUACUUGCGAGGGUUACAUUAAUGAAUAAACGGCUGGAGUCCCUGCCCUCGUGGGGCUCCCAUUCUGAGGAGGCGGCUCUCAAUAAACCAAUAAGUGCUUUGGAGAAAAAGAAAACACAUUAAGGGGUAACCAAGCAAGGAGCAGUUAUUGCUCUUUGUUAAGGAGGUCAAGGAAGGCUUAACAGAUAAGAAGACAUCUGAAUAGAGACCUGAAGGAAGCAAGAUGCACAGGUUAUACACUUACCUUCAAGUUGGUUGGAUCAGGACACAUCUGGAACUCUGGCUCACCUCAAUACUAGACCUCCGUGGGGAGCUGUGUUUGCUGUCAGAUUUCUCCUUCUUGCAUGCCAAGUGUUCCUUUGAGACUGCCAUAGUUUCUGUAAGUGAGCCUCUCCCAGAGCCACUGCAACCUGUUGGACCUGUGAACAACCAAGCCCAAAGGAGGACAAAGUUCAAGACCUUCACCCAGGUUCCUUUGCCUCAAUAACAAUCAACAAAUGGGAAAUCUGAAGACAGUCAUCACCUAGAUACACACGAGUGUGGCUGAAUCACACCUCCUGCUCAGCUGGACCCACUGAGUAUUGUCAUCAGGGUAUUAGCUCUAUCAACAUGCUAACGUCUUCCAUUCCAUUUGUUAACCGCCAAAGUGUGAUUAUGCUGGGCAGUAGCAUCAAACCUGGAAAAGGGGCACCCAUGCUCACUUCAGCUGGUCCAAGUACAGCAAGAUCCAAGAACACUGUGUAUAUAUAGGGAAAUCCUAGAGGCAAAGAGCAUGGAUUUUGAACCUGUGACUCUGGGUCAUCAUUCACUUUGGACUCUUUUUUUUUUUUUUUUUUAGGAAAACAUAAUGACAACUGCUUCUUGCAAUGUGUAAAGUAGGAUCUUUUUGGGAUCCAUAAAUCACAACAGCUAAAUCUGCAUACUUCCCUAAGGGAUGAAUGGAGGUUUAGGAUUACUGGUAUCAGCCUUUUGAGAUUUCCCUUUAUCUCUUUAGGAAUGGGCCAUCCUCUCCUACGCACCAAAAUUAAAAGACAUUCCAGGGCAAGACCUUUCUUAGCAUAAGAUCACCUUCCCCCUUUUGAGUUAUCUGAUGAUCCCCUCCUCAAAUCCCCUCCUCUAUCAAUAAAUGCUGAGGUUCUAGCCGCCUCGUGGCCUUUCGUUCCUCGCGAACAACCGGUCA
Molecule: long non-coding RNA, 1228 nt
Organism: Chinchilla lanigera (long-tailed chinchilla)
Lineage: Eukaryota; Metazoa; Chordata; Mammalia; Rodentia; Chinchillidae
Exons: 2
Source: RefSeq, a predicted model, not a curated record